UGAGGAAUAUUGGUCAAUGGGCGCGAGCCUGAACCAGCCAAGUAGCGUGAAGGAUGAAGGUCCUAUGGAUUGUAAACUUCUUUUAUAGCAGAAUAAAGUGACCCACGUGUGGGUUUUUGUAUGUAUGCUAUGAAUAAGGAUCGGCUAACUCCGUGCCAGCAGCCGCGGUAAUACGGAGGAUCCGAGCGUUAUCCGGAUUUAUUGGGUUUAAAGGGUGCGUAGGCAGAAAGAUAAGUCAGCCUGUGAAAGUUUGCGGCUCAACCGUAAAAUUGCAGUUGAUACUGUUUUUCUUGAGUGUACAUAAGGUAGGCGGAAUUCGUGGUGUAGCGGUGAAAUGCUUAGAUAUCACGAAGAACUCCGAUUGCGAAGGCAGCUUACCGGGGUACAACUGACGCUGAUGCACGAAAGUGUGGGUAUCAAACA
This 423-nucleotide ribosomal RNA is filed under the name uncultured bacterium. RNAcentral describes it as "bacterial SSU rRNA". It matches the Rfam family "Bacterial small subunit ribosomal RNA", at positions 355 to 774 of the family's 1533-position model. The record is from RNAcentral.